RNAcentral lists this ribosomal RNA (605 nucleotides) under uncultured Bacilli bacterium. RNAcentral describes it as "bacterial SSU rRNA". It matches the Rfam family "Bacterial small subunit ribosomal RNA", at positions 108 to 696 of the family's 1533-position model. Lineage: Bacteria; Bacillati; Bacillota; Bacilli. The record is from RNAcentral.
GAGUAACACGUAAAGAACCUGCCUCAUAGACUGGGACAACUAUUGGAAACGAUAGCUAAUACCGGAUAACAGUAUUUCUCGCAUGAGAGAUAUUUAAAAGUUGGUUAUGCCAACACUAUGAGAUGGCUUUGCGGUGCAUUAGCUAGUUGGUGGGGUAAAGGCCCACCAAGGCGACGAUGCAUAGCCGACCUGAGAGGGUGAUCGGCCACACUGGGACUGAGACACGGCCCAGACUCCUACGGGAGGCAGCAGUAGGGAAAUCUUCCGCAAUGGGCGAAAGCCUGACGGAGCAACGCCGCGUGAGUGAAGAAGGAUUUCGGUUCGUAAAGCUCUGUUGUUAGGGAAGAAUGGAUAUGUAGUAACACCUUAUACAUANUUAANGAGACGGUUACCCUAACCCCCAGGAAAGCCACGGCUAACUACGUGCCAGCAGCCCGCGUAUACGUAGUGCAAGCGUUGUCCGGAAUUAUUGGGCGUAAAGCGCGCAGUGUUUAAUAAGUCUGAUGUGAAAGCCCACGGCUCAACCGUGGAGGUCAUUGGAAACUGUUAAACUUGAGUGCAGGAGAGAAAAGUGGAUUCCUAGUGUAGCGUGAAAUGCGUAGAGA